UAGGGAAUCUUCCGCAAUGGACGCAAGUCUGACGGAGCAACGCCGCGUGAGUGAAGAAGGAUUUCGGUUCGUAAAACUCUGUUGUUAGAGAAGAACAGCGCAUAGAGUAACUGUUAUGCGUGUGACGGUAUCUAACCAGAAAGCCACGGCUAACUACGUGCCAGCAGCCGCGGUAAUACGUAGGUGGCAAGCGUUGUCCGGAUUUAUUGGGCGUAAAGCGAGCGCAGGCGGUCAAUUAAGUCUGAUGUGAAAGCCCCCGGCUCAACCGGGGAGGGUCAUUGGAAACUGGUUGACUUGAGUGCAGAAGAGGAGGGUGGAAUUCCAUGUGUGGCGGUGAAAUGCGUAGAUAUAUGGAGGAACACCAGUGGCGAAGGCGACUCUCUGGUCUGUAACUGACGCUGAGGCUCGAAAGCGUGGGUAGCAAACAGG
This 429-nucleotide ribosomal RNA is filed under the name Bacteroidota bacterium. RNAcentral's name for it is "Bacteroidetes bacterium partial 16S ribosomal RNA". It matches the Rfam family "Bacterial small subunit ribosomal RNA", at positions 355 to 776 of the family's 1533-position model. The record is from RNAcentral. Lineage: Bacteria; Pseudomonadati; Bacteroidota.